This 465-nucleotide ribosomal RNA is filed under the name uncultured bacterium. RNAcentral's name for it is "partial 16S ribosomal RNA". It matches the Rfam family "Bacterial small subunit ribosomal RNA", at positions 28 to 507 of the family's 1533-position model. The record is from RNAcentral.
GACGAACGCUGGCGGCGUGCUUAACACAUGCAAGUCGAACGGAAAGGCCCUGCUUGCAGGGUACUCGAGUGGCGAACGGGUGAGUAACACGUGGGUGAUCUGCCCUGCACUUCGGGAUAAGCCUGGGAAACUGGGUCUAGUACCGGAUAGGAGCCAUUUUUAGUGUGAUGGUUGGAAAGUUUUUUCGGUGUAGGAUGAGCUCGCGGCCUAUCAGCUUGUUGGUGGGGUAAUAGCCUACCAAGGCGGCGACGGGUAGCCGGCCUGAGAGGGUGGACGGCCACAUUGGGACUGAGAUACGGCCCAGACUCCUACGGGAGGCAGCAGUGGGGAAUAUUGCACAAUGGGCGCAAGCCUGAUGCAGCGACGCCGCGUGGGGGAUGACGGCCUUCGGGUUGUAAACUCCUUUCGCUAGGGACGAAGCUUUUUGUGACGGUACCUAGAUAAGAAGCACCGGCUAACUACGUG